Carcharodon carcharias (great white shark) is the source of this 1938-nucleotide long non-coding RNA. RefSeq lists it as uncharacterized. The record is from RefSeq and is a predicted model, not a curated record. Lineage: Eukaryota; Metazoa; Chordata; Chondrichthyes; Lamniformes; Lamnidae. The transcript has 5 exons.
CUUCUACUCAGUCUCUUCAGAAGCUGAAAUGCUCCCGGUUCCCUACCUGUCUCUGCUCAGGCCCCAGGUGAUACCCCUUUAAAUAGUAUGAGGCGGAACUCCCAUCCAUCACCAGGAGGGUGUCCUCCCUCAAAGAGCUGCCAGCCAAUCGGAGGCCGGCAGGUCUGCAAACCAGCAGCACCAACCAGGAGCAGUGGCUACUGACAGUACUGCAUGUAGGCAACGGGAGUGGUCUUCAGCGAUGGACCUGGAUAUUCGGAUUGUAACUUUCCUGGUUCAUGAAUAGUCCAUCAAUACAUGAAGGCAGUUUCGAUGGGGAAGACCUUGGUUAUAUCAGGUGCAGGGCUCCCUUUUUAAAAAACGGAAAAAGAUCCAGCUGUGCAUGUGCGCAGGGCCGUUUACUGGCUUCAAAGCGUGAAUCCCGACCAACUGCACACGUGAGGCCAUUCUUCAGCCCGCACAUUGGCAGCACCUGAAAUCGUCAAAAAAAGAACAAACUGCUCAUGUGCAGCAGUUCCAGGUUCGGCGCAUGCGCAGGAACCACUGUGGCCCAUUGGGAAUUGUAGUUCCCAACUCGGCGGGCCCAACCUUCACUUUUUAAAGAUUUCUGGUUGCACUGACCCACCACUCCCUUACUAUGCGGUCAAGCAAGAUCCACUUUGGCUUUGAGAAUUCUCCAUUGGUAGAAGCCAUCCUUUAUUUCAGGAUUUUUCCAUCCUUCUGCUUCAAGGAUGUUUCCAAGCGUGAUACAAAGGCCCUAAACAUUGAUUAUCCUAACUUGGAAUCAUUAGUUGAUGACAGAGGAAAAUAGCGACACCUCCUGUGAGCUGACACACACCACCACAAGGACCAGUGGCUACAGCGGCUUGUCAACCGGUUCCAACACCAAAAACAACCACCCACAAUGACACUUGGAGGUGUCAUGUCUGGCACUUGUGGCAGAACCUGUCUCUCAAGGAUCGGCCUCUUCAGCCGAUGCCGUAUGAAGACACCCCAUCUGAAAUGGAUUGUUUGCUGCAUGUCCAUCAUCUUUCAUAGAUGGAAGGAUGCCAACGAUUACAUGGACUUGGAUGGGUCUCCCUCACCCCUGCUGCUCCCAACAGCCAGACGAUCAUCACCCAGACCACACAACCGGGGUCAGAACCCUCCACACAAUCAAGAAGUAAACGUCUUCCAUAAGCUGCAAAGGUCAUUCAGUUCUCAAUUAGUUAAAAACUAGUAAGGAUCUUUUUGUAAACAGUAUGAACGUAGAGGAAAAUAGAAGGAAUGCUGGUCUGGAGCAGACUAAAUUUAAUACAGUUGCUUUUCUAAUGUUCUUUAAAAUAUUGAUCAAGUAGAGAGACUGGGUAGAUGAAGGUAUUGCUAUUUAUUAUUUAUGCAUAUGCAUCUCUCUAUGAUUUCUCUGGAAAAUACACAACACAUAAAUUGAUCUUUUGCUCCUUUUUUUUAAUUGCAUUGCUGUCUUUCCACUUUUAUAUGCACUUUACAGUUAAUUAUCUCCGUUUCUGCUUGCCCGAUUAUUAUUACCCUGUACAAGGUUAUACUAUCUGUUAUCAAUCUGAUCCUAAGAAUGCUUCUAUGCUAUAGGGCAUGUUUAGAGAAUUGGUGAGUGGAUGUAAGUUAUACUGCUGACUCUGUGUUGUUCUCUAAUCCAGUGACAGAGCUUUGCUCAUCAGUUGCUUUAUUACUAACCCCAGCCCAGAUAAACAAUUUUCCAUAGUAUUGAUGAAGUGUCACUAAUAUCCAGAGUAAUCAUCAUUAGGGCUGUUCUGUGCGCAAAUGAUAAUUUGGCAUCCAAAUGUCAGGCUCAUGGGGAGUAGUUGGGCUGAAUUUGCGCUGUGGUUUAUGUAUUUCUAUGUAUGUUGGAAUUUUAACAAAAAAUUAACAGAACAGUCAACUCCCUGUUAACAUGAAGAUAAAUGGUGGGCAUUUUUUCAA